This 622-nucleotide ribosomal RNA is filed under the name uncultured bacterium. Its description in RNAcentral is "bacterial SSU rRNA". The stretch from base 1 to 521 matches the Rfam family "Bacterial small subunit ribosomal RNA", at positions 338 to 873 of the family's 1533-position model. The record is from RNAcentral.
CCUACGGGAGGCAGCAGUGGGGAAUCUUGCGCAAUGGGCGAAAGCCUGACGCAGCCAUGCCGCGUGAAUGAUGAAGGUCUUAGGAUUGUAAAAUUCUUUCACCGGGGACGAUAAUGACGGUACCCGGAGAAGAAGCCCCGGCUAACUUCGUGCCAGCAGCCGCGGUAAUACGAAGGGGGGCUAGCGUUGCUCGGAAUUACUGGGCGUAAAGGGAGCGUAGGCGGAUAGUUUAGUCAGAGGUGAAGGCCCAGGGCUCAACCUUGGAAUUGCCUUUGAUACUGGCUAUCUUGAGUAUGGGAGAGGUUAGCGGAACUCCGAGUGUAGAGGUGAAAUUCGUAGAUAUUCGGAAGAACACCAGUGGCGAAGGCGGCUAACUGGCCCAUUACUGACGCUGAGGCUCGAAAGCGUGGGGAGCAAACAGGAUUAGAUACCCUGGUAGUCCACGCCGUAAACGAUGAGUGCUAGUUGUCGGCAUGCAUGCAUGUCGGUGACGCGAGCGUAACGACAUUAAGUACACCUCCGCCGUCGGGGAGGUACGGUCGGCGAAGAAGUUAAAACUAACGAAAGGAAAGUUAGACGGCGUGAGACGUACGCCGAACGGACGACGACGAGGGAGGUUAGG